Non-coding RNA from Xyrichtys novacula (pearly razorfish), 14070 nucleotides. The record is from the annotation of a GenBank genome assembly. Lineage: Eukaryota; Metazoa; Chordata; Actinopteri; Labriformes; Labridae.
ACAAUUUGGGACCUGUUCACCUUAAAACUGUACUAUGUAAGCCAUAAGCUUAAUUUCUUCACUACUUACUGUACAUGUAAACAUCUAAACUCAAUAUUUCUUCAUUUGCUUUUGUCCAGAAGCUAGUUACCAUAUGUCAGAGUUGGUUCAUUUAGAUGGCAUCUAUGAUCCUUUUGCAGCCUGCCAUGUUGCCAAAUUGAGUACACACAUUUCAGUUAUUGUUUUUGAGUUGUGAAAAAGUCCAUAUAACAUUUUAAAAAUAAUGUAAGAUGUACUGAUGUCUAUGAACAAAAUAUUAAUAAUCUCUAUUCAGAUGAAAGCGCGGUCAAGCUUCAGUCUAAUGAUGGUGAUCUUUUGCUCCUGGCACACGUUGGUUUUUCUUUUCUCUCAUUUGUGAUUCAGAAGCUUCAGCCCCCUUUUGUGUCUCUGGACUCAAACUCUAAAGUCACUCUGACCUGCAUGUUGUGUCACCAAAAACUAUUGUGGAGUCAACAGCUGCUGCAGCCCCCACGCCCCACUGUGGCACACACCCUAACCCACACUUCUGUCCCUCUCCCCGUUGAAGUCCUCAUUGUUUAACUAGAAUAAUAAUUUUAAAAAAAACAACAAAAUGAAAUUUUGAGCCAGCACAGUCACAACAAACCUGAAGCAGAGUCUCAAUUCAGCAUUCUGCACAUGUACACAAACACACACACCCUCCAUGAAAGGAAGGAGAGCAGGAGCAGCUGAAACGUAAUCAGCCCUUUAAAUCUCCACAGCAACCAACCCAGCACUCACUCCAUCUGCUGCCCAAAUUAAUGACGAGGAGAAAAGGAGGAGGAGGAAGAGGGGGAGAAGGGUGCCAUGUGCCCGGCACAAGCCUGCUGCCAUUCAUCCACUCAGGACCAAAUCCUGACUGAACAACAACAAAAACCUCCCCCGACAGUCAGCAGAAACACAAGUGAAGUUAAAACAAAUGCAGGAUACAGCUUCAUCCACCUUCAGCAUCACCUGUGUUAAAAUCAGGUACCUGAGAUGCAAACUUAGAGUUAGAUUUGACAUUAAAUAUCAUCUAAUAACUAAAGUUUGAUUCAGGAGAUUGUUAACUUAGCUUGCUUAGCGAAUCUGCGCCCUGGCCCUGUUUCGACUCAGAAUCUCCAGAGCUCAUUUUGAGGUAACUUUACUUUUUAUUUUUAUAUUUAAAAUGUUUUUGCCCAAAACACAAACACCCAAACACUUUUCAGUAUCUCAGUCCCUUUCUCUGAACUCCGUCACCCUGAAUAACCUGUGCUGCCCUCAGUCUCAACCCGCUCAUAAAGAGCUCUGCUCCUGCAGCCACAUGCUGCUUCUCAAGUGUCCUUUCAACAUAAAAGCCUCCUCCUCCUCCUCCUCCUCCUCCUCCUCCUCUAUGCUCCUUUCUCCUCCUCUAUCCUAAAGCUUUCUGUGCACUGUGGAGCUGCAGCAGAUGGUUCUGAUGGACUGUGUGUGUGUGUGUGCUCCUACACUCUUAGUUUGUUGUUUUGGUUUUACUGGUUACCAUGGAAAUGGAAAUCAACAACAUUAGUCUAAUACAUUCCAAGUUGAUUUUACUGAUAUUAUGUUUUCAUUGAUUUAACAUCCAACUAUUGUUUAUAACCGUAAGUUCUUGUCUGAAAGGGAUGAUGACAAUGUUUUUUGCUCUCAAAAGUCUUGAAUACAAUCUGGUUUGUCUCUAAUUUAGUGAUUCAUAUUCACGUCAACAUGGAGAAUAAAACUGGAAAAACUGUGAAGUACAUCCCCUUGUUUCGUAAUCAAAAAGUACAUUUUUUAAGUAGUUGUCAGGACAAGUUGAGUUUGUAGACAUGGCUCAGUCGUUGAUAGUUUUUAAAGAGGUCUGCUGACUCGCUCUGUCUGACAGCUAUGCUAAUAUAUUUUCUAACUAUGCUAAUGUCUCUCCUCUAUCAUUACCAUACGCCUGCUGCUGCAGCAGAGCUGCAGGUCACAGCAGGCUCAGGGUCAAACACACACAUACACACACACACACACACACACACACACACACACACACACACACACACACACACACACACACACACACACGCGUAACUACAUGUGUUGGCGCGAUCUGUGUACACAAACACUAACACACACAUACACUCACUGCUUCCCCCAGUUAUCAGCUGUUUAUGCUAAUUCCUGAUUGUGAUAUCCAUCAGUGGGGCCUCUUUGAGCUCAUGAUGAAUCUGAUCACUAAUUACAUUAACAAACCCGAAGCCCCCCAGGCUGCUGCUCUCUAAUGAAACCACAGUGUAGAGCUUUCUCUUUACACUAGUGUUAUCAGACUAUAGUGUUCAUGAGAAUGAGUCAGCCUUUAGUAUUGGAAGCACAGGGAGAACCUGAGCACCAUAUUAAAGUACUUCAAAGAGGAAACUCAGUACUGCAUUUUUACAGAAAACAAGAGUUCACCUCUUGCUCACAUACACUAUGCUAACUGGUGUGGUUUGGACAUUAGAGGUCAAACAAGGAUGGCCCAGAUGUAAUGAGCAGAGAAGGAUCGUAUCACAACCUAUGAUGGUGGACUUUCUUCUGUCAAUAACGUGAUUCUUGUUGUUUAGACUAGGACAACACUGUGAUCCACUUUUACUGUCAAAUCAAGUUAUAACAGCUCCACUGUAUACAGGCGCAGGUGCAUGCAGCUAUCAGAGGAGAGGUUGCUGUAUUGGAUAUUGAUUUUAUUGAUUUUUAGACCCUAUAUUGAAUCUCAUUUCAACCUUAGUCUCGCAAUUGUGGCUUAUUCUUAACAUGCAUAAUGCAAAAAUAAAAAAUAACAAUCCUCCUUCUCUAGUUUUUGUGUUUUUUUUCCUCCUGGCCCAGAAAUUUCUCUACAGAUGUGAGCUGGAAGAGAAAGUUUGUGUGGGUGUUUGAUUUUUAUCUUUAAAGGCAACAUGAGAUUAAAUAAAUAUGAAGAUAUUUUAUCUUGUAGCUUGUAUACAGAUAAAGAUCACACCCACACGCAGGCACGCACACACACACACACACACGCACGCAUGCACGUACGCACGUGCACACAUACGCAACCAGCUGUUGCCAAAACACUGCACUACUUCUCCAUUCAGCGCUGAGUCCCUCAAGGGCCUCAUUCAAACACAGCAGCAAUACUCUGUGUGUGUGCGUGUGUGUGUGUGUGUGUGUGUGUGUGUGUGUGUGUGUGUGAGGUAACUAGAGUUGCAGAAUACGAAAGUUGAGCACAAAAGUUUGUGCUCCGACUCAGAGCUAAAAAGCUUUAAAUUAAAGAAUCAAAUUCCAACAGUGCAUCAAAAAUACAUCACGGUCCAUGGUUUGGUAGAAAGUGAUGCAUGCAGUAUUCAAAUGAGGGCAGAAUCACAAAAAACAUGGACCAAGACCAGACUUGAGACUAAUUCAGGACAACACUUGUCUGUGUGUUGUAGGACCAGAUCAGAUGGCUAAAUGUGCUUGUUCUGCGCCCCCACUCUCUGCACACCCUCACCAAAACAAAACUCAGACAAAAGCUACAGCCAACACUUCUACACCCUCCUCAAAGGGCACAAAGAGCAGAAAACGACAGGAGGGGCCCUGCACAAAGGUGCACCGAGACCCCGGCCCUUUCUCCUCUUUUGUGCAGAAGAAUGGAGAGGUCCAGGAGCAGCUGCUGCUGGCUGCACGAGACAUUUGAGACGGUCCCUUUCACCAAAAACAAAGUCUGGAGCUGUGAGUGUGCAGGCUGCAGAGCUGCAGGGGCAAAGAGGAGGAGGAGGAGAGAGGAAGGGGGGGAGGUUGUAUACAAAACGACAGGCACACUUUGCCAGAUCAACGUGGAGCUGACUCCCCAUUCAUCCUGCAGAUCAGCCGCAGAGGGAGGGGGGCUGAGGGAGGGACUUAGAGUGAAGGAGGAAGCCUUUAAAGUUGACAUGAGUCACAUCAGUCACAGCACAAAAGAGUCCCCGAGGUCUGCCAUAUGGAGCAGGGACAUCAUCUGUUCAGCAGUCACUGAAAGAAAUCCAGGCUGAGCCAAUAGCAGCACCAGCUCUGCACCCUGCUCUACCCAGAGACAACACAACUCUGCUUUCUGAUUGGCUGCUGUGUCGUUAUUAACAGUGUCUCAAUUAGGCAGAUAAGGAAGGGAGGUUUUCUGUUGUUUUAGUGCUUCAAGUGAUCUGUGUGUCUGAUUGAUUUGUGUUGGUUUAUACUGAAGUGAGGUGUUUUACUAAUUCAUGCUUCUUCUGAUCAACAUCAAAAAGUUAUCCCCAAAGUUUUUUUUUUUUUAAUCUGAACAAAAUCAUGUUUUCAUGACUCCUUAAAAUAUGUUCCCCUGCUCGUUGUAUUUUCACUUUGUUGGCAAAAUCUAGCUGUACCAUUUCAGACUGAAGUACUCCCUUGCUCACUCUCCUUUUGUACACAACAAAAACUCCUCCAAAACAGUGCAUUUUGCACAGACGCUCACUAAAUACAAAAUGCACAUGUCAUACUUUGUCCACUCUGUGCUACAGUAGGAACAAGGUCAUGCAAGACAGUGUCCUCAGUGGAAGGAUACCCACUCCUUUGCAGAUAUAAAAGGCUCACGCUAAGUCAACAAAUCUCAAUUAUUUCUUUCCUCCAGUGAUUUUUACACUCAUUUAGAUUUACUGUCUUUAUAUAAUAUAGAGUAAUAUCUUUUGGAUAUGGUACCAUACAACAUGAUUAAAAAUUAGACCAAUAGGAGACAUAAAACUUGACUUGUUUGUGAUUUGUGCAUGAAGUAAAAGUAAAGUAAAGUAAAAAAAGACUUUCUUCAACAUACUUCCAGUUGUCUGAAUUGACAGCUACACCCUCACAGUGGUGGCAGGCAGUAAAAUUAUCAGUCUCUUUCAUUUCCACAAAGACUUCAAGAUGCUGUGCAUCAAAUAUGAGUUUUUUGUUUCAUCUUUGCCUGCAGUAGGUCUUGAUUUAAUGUUGCUCCCAGAGUUGUAUUUAUCAUAAUGACAAAAACAUAAAGAAGAGCAGCAAUAAAGUAAAUGAAAUGAACAACCAACAUGCUGUGCUUCCUUUUUCAGAUAGUAAGCACCCAGUGAGAGGAAGUCAUAAAGCUACUGUCCAGCAACUUCAUUUCAAUCUUGAACGGGACAUGUUUUCAUUCAGCAAUAAAAGUUACCGCUAGGAUGAAGUCCAAUCCUGCUUUUUUAUACUGCCUGGGGAAAAACAUGAUACUUAGGGGAGCUUACAGCAUAAAGACAAACCAAAAACCAUUUCAGUGUGACUCUGUUCAUAUUGGCUUGAAAUAUUUUUCUUAUAGACUCCCUCAAGAAUAUCUGCCCUAAAGCAAAGAGGUGCAAAGAUUCCCUGACCAGUUUUAGGCUCAGAAUUUACUCUUGAUGACAGACUUUUUUCUUACUGGCGCAUCAUUGAGAGUUAGAGAACCAAGCAGUGUGGAACAGUGCCCCCUAGUGACAGAUGAUUUCACUACUCUAUGUGUUAUCUGCAGGUCACCAGAGAAUAUAAAUAAAGAAAACAAUGAUAAAGGGAUACAUUAACAACAACAACAACAACAACAACAACAACAACAACAACAACAACAAAAAUCACUUUUUUGUGAAUACUUCAAAUAACAGUGUGCUACAAAAUCUUAAUCCCACUUGUGGAAAAGUGUUCACAUAAAAUGAAUAAAUGAGAUAUUAUAUAAGAAGACUUAGCCUUAUCAAAAAUGCCCCUUUGGCUAAUCCUCAAACAUAUAGGUAGAUGGUUGUAAAUUUUGGACCAAAUGGGUGCAAAUGUAUCUGUUCCUUAGUUUGAAAUGUAUCAAUGAUUUCAUUUUAGUAAAUUUAACCUGUGUGAGCACCACUAACAGAGAGUACAGAGAAUACUUUUACAUUGAUUCAAUCACUGACAUGAAUGAAUCAUAUCUGUGUGUGUGGUGUGCCACCUUGUGGUGUGACCCUGGAUUUACAGGCUGCUCAGUUAGUAUGCUAGUAUGCUCUGACUAAUUUCUGUAACACAUCUAAAUUUCCCAAUGUGGCAACAUAUUCUGUAUUUUUUUUCCCUACUCUAUUCUUUAAAAACCCCUUUCACAGUAAAAAACUGGUGUUUUUUUAUUGGCACUGAUCAGUCAAAACAUUUCUAACCACCAGCUGAUAUUGUACAGGCCCCCCCUCUUGUCAUACAAGGAUUAAAGAGUCCUGUCCUGAUGAGACAUGGACUCUUUAAGACUUCUAAAGUUGUGGUGUGGCACCAAGAUGUUAGCAGCAGAUCAUUCAAGACCUGGGAGCCCAGUCCACAAGUCCAUCAGUACCAGAUUUAACUUGUGUAACAGUUUAGCUCAUCUGUUGUAGUGCUUCCUGCUCUGCAUCAAUAAGCCUUGUUGCCAGUUCAGUUCUUUCUUGGACCACUUCAGGUCAAUACUGAUCACUGCAGCUGAACCUCUAACACCCAUCUCUCCAAACACUUCCCUGUCAUAUUUACAUUGAAAAAUGUGUCGAGGAGCCAAAGUUAUCUAUCAAGUCCAUAAAAGUCAACAUCUUUCUAGUUCUGCUUCUUCCUAUCCUUGUCCCUGUCCAUCUUAUUUCUCUCUCUCUCUGUCUCUCCUCUCCCUCUCCAUCCCUGGUAGUACACAGCAAACACUGGAAGUCAUUUCAGAGAGAAAUUAACACUGAGUCUGACACUUUAAUGCUCCCACACAGCAAAUUGGAUUUGUGCGCUUCACUGGCUCCGAGUAUCAGUGUGUUGCAGUGACAAAAAGCCCCCUGCAGCGAGUCAGAAACACAGACUCAGGAGAGACGGUGGAGCUUUAACACAGCUCAACACUAAAUACAAUAAGAGGAAGUGUUGCUGAGAGGACUUUGCGAGUUAAUUUGAUUUGUAUUGAAAUAUUUCUUUCAGUUUAAAAACCCAAAACAUGGAAAUCAGUCAAAAAUACACAGCCGGCUACACAACAAUUAUAUGUCCAGGAAGUGGAGAACGCUGGUUACAGCAGCAAAUACAGACUCUUAGUUUCAAAAGUGAAGCUGGUGAGCAAGUACUCUUCAGAUUUUAGUGUGCGGGUGAUAUGCUGGAGGAAACUUUUCAAGGCCUUCAAUUGAGUAAGGAAGCCUUCCAAUUUGUACAUUCUCUAACCAAUUUCAAUGAGUCCAAAAAAUAAAUAAAUAAAAAAUCAAAUUAGACUAAACAAAAGCCAAAUUUACCUGCUGUAUAAGUGUUUCUUGGAUUAAACAUGACCCCUUUUUUAAGGAAGUUGACAAAUAUCUUGCGAACAUCAUUUGUAGUUUUUGAUCAAAACAAGCAAAUCGGAUCCUAUUUGUGGCUUAUUAACAACUUGAAAAAGAGCAUUCUGAUGGACUUGUCAGAUAAAUGUGGCUUGAACCAAAUCUAAUGACAUACAGUUCUAAAUAUUAAGACACAAGCUGUCCUUAUGGGUAACAAACAACAGUAGAAGACCAAAUGGUAAACUUUUCAAACAGAAGGCUGAAAAAGGUGAAAAACUUACUUUUAAACAGCGUCCAUGCCAAACAGAAGACCCACAAAGUCCAACCGAGGAACAGAACUCAAAAGUCACAGCAAAAACUCCACAUACUGUAAUAAUCAAAGGUGUGUGUCAGGGAGACACAGGUCAAACAAUCAAAAAAGGAGGGAAAACACAGGAAGUAGAACUAUAUAUAACAGAUUUGAAAAUAGGACUUCAAAAUAAAACAGGAAACAACAAACAACUUGACGUGAAUAAAACACAUAACACAAAUGACAGGAAGCUGAAAAAGAAAUGGUAAGAAAAACAGGGAAAUUUACCAAAAAUUGACAACCCAAACAUGAACAGUUUUGAGUUUUGGCAGUGAGAGACCAAAUCAUUUUCAGACUUAAGUUCUUCUUUGACUAAAGUUCUUUAUUGAAUACUUGUUUAAAAAAAAAGGUUAACCGUGUCUGUAUGGAUACAUUUUAAAAGCCAUAAAUAAAAGGGCAAUCAUGGUAUUCUAUGUCUUUUUUUUUUUUUAAGUUAUUUUCAUGAAAGCUAAUGAUGGUAAUGAAAUAAAAAAGAAGGUUAAAUAUUUUAAAGGCAUUUUGAGAACUAUAAAAGGUUUGUUUUAUGUAAGUUUCAUUCUUAUUGUAUCUUAGUGGGAGUGAAAUAAAUGGUGAUCGCUCUGUGUUAAAAGUUUAAAGUCUUCACAAAAACUUAUGUUGGGACAAACUUUCUGAGAAAACAGAAAUAAACCUUCUAUGUAUCACAAAAACUACUUGUAAUACAAAGUAACUAGAGAGAAACACACUCCAGUUUUGUCCCCUGGGUAAGAAAACCUGUUAAAUGUAAACCCUAAAUGAGCAGCUCAUUCUUCAUUUUACAACUCAUAUUGCUGAAAUUUUGUUAUAUUGGUUUUCUGCCCUUCAGCUAAAAUGGUUAUUAAGUUUGAGCACACAGAAACAACAAACCAACACAGGCCUUUGUGGAUAUUAUUGACGACAUGAAUGAUAUUGAGGUAGAGAGCUGUGUUCACAUCCGGAGAUUUCCUCUGUUCUCUGCCAAUGACCAUGAUGUUAUUACAUAAAAUGAUAAUAACCUGAUCAAUCUUGUGGUCUUAACUACAGAUACUGAUGCUGCACAACGUGUAAAAUGUGCACAGCAUCUUCAGUGACUUGAAAAUGCAUCUGUCGAUCCUGUUUCAUGGUUACAACAAUAAAUUCGAUAAAUCUGCCACAAUCCUAAAUGGGGUGGUCUGCAGAAAUGCCUUAUCUACCGCUGGUGAAUGAAGGUAGAAGCUCACUCUUUGCCCAGUUUAUCCUAUACCACAAAAAUGUGCCAAACUUGUUGAUAAGGUUUAACAGAGGUAUAAAGCUUUAGGUUUGAAAUGAAUAGAAUGAUAUCAUCUGCAUAUGCAUUAUCUGAUGCAUUAUUGCUUAAAUUUUAGGUAUAAAUAAAUUUCAGUAUACAAGAACAAAACAUGACAUUGUUGGGCUCAUGUUAUCAAUCACACCGCGUGGACAAGACAGCACCAGAUCUAUAAAAUACAUUUAUUACUAUUAUAUUUAACUCAAUUUUUGUAUUUUUUAAUGUUUUGAUUCUAUUUUAUGUUUAAAGUCAUAUAUCUGUAUUGCAUUUAUGUGUUUGUUUGCUGUUGCAAUAAAUCGGCUCAAUUGGUCAUUGGCUGAUAAUUUAAGUGACUUAUUGUAAGGAUUUAAAGGAAGUCUAUGCUACUGUGAGGUGAUUCAAGUUUAUAUAAGCAGUGCAAUUUUGUGAAAGAGACAUGCUACAUUAACUGUAGUCAUAAUGCAUUAUUCUGACGUGUGAGUAGAUGUGUCUUUUGUUCCAGUGUGUUGAUCUGGUUCAUCAUCAGGACCUUGUCAGCGGUCAUAGAUGGAGAAUCUUGGCGCACAGAUGGCGACUAUGCUGCUCGCUGCAGAGAUGAUUUUCAUAUUUUAAGAACAAUAAUCAACCAAAUAGAUUCCAUUAAGUAAUCAUUAUUAAUCCUUUUUAUAAUCUCAUCAGCUACAGUGCAUCUUGUGCUGGGCUGUGAGUAGCAGAGAGGAGGAGCUGUUGGACCACAUUAUCUGCUCUCUGUGCAGGUGAAUUCAGGACAGUACGAUAGUUGAUGAGCUGCUGCAGGAUGCACUCAGAAUAAGGUGGUGAAAAUAAACCCAAAACAUAUCAUUUACCCCUGCUUUAGUAAGAGGUUUUAUCCAUUGAACUUUGUUGGUGAACUUUUAAAACUCCCUCUAAAGUCUUUAUCAGGGAGUCAGCUUUACACCAUUGAAGUAAUAGUCCAAACAACGCCAUCUGCUGGAGAUACACAUGUCAAAACCCCCUGUUAAGACCUGUUGACAUGUCAAUGCUGACUACCCUUCUUAUCACUGUUAACUGAUCUUCUCGUGUAAGGUUAGGGGGUCUGAAAACAUGAAAACCUCUCCCUGCUUUCUUUUCACAUUAAACAUCUCACACUGUCUAUUUUUGUUUUGGAAAAUGACACAAAAAGCCUUUUUUAUAGCAGUGUACAGAUGUCUGUUUUUGUAACACCCAUCCUUGGCAGUAUUUUCUUGUAAUUAAAAAUUCAUUCAGUAAUUUAUAAUAUUUAGAAAGACUCAAAUGUCCUCCUGAUGGCCUUGAUUGCUUUUGAAAGUCACACUGAGUCAUCAAAAGUAAUUUCAGUCUGUUUUUAUAACCAAUUAAAAACCUCUCUUACUCUCACGGGAGCUUUAAAUGUUUGUGAAUGCCUAAUGAGACUGAGCUCGGAUAUUUGUUAUAUUUGUCUUUUAUUUAAGUCACAUAUCUAAAUGUUUUAAAUUCCAUUUCAAAGCUAACCUUCAGCCAAUGUAGGGUCAUUUUUAUCCUAUUCAAAUCUGGAUUAACCGGCUUGUUUGUGAAAAGGGUUACGCCACUAUGAGAUAGUAAACACAUGUGACUGUCAACACAAUGUCAGCUCAUGACCUCAGAUAGCUUCUCACAUGAUCAGCUGGUGUAAGGGAUGAGAGCGUGUGAUCAUUCAGCCAAUGUUAGACCAUGAAAGUCAAAGCUGUUGUUUGUAAAGGUUUCAGCAGGAUGAGGGUGAUCCGCAGCCAUGACGGACACAUUAUAAAGGGCGGUCGCAUCGCUGCUUUUCUGUCAAGCUCCUUCAACAAUUUCCCUGUCGCUCGUUUUUAACCUGCCACACAGCCGUCACCAUUUAGCCUCAUAAUUCCCCAGAUUCACGCAUAAUCAAACAAAUUAGCCUUUAUGCUAAUUUCUUACGACUCAAUUAUGUUAAAAGCCCGGCUUGAAUGACAGUCAUAAUUGCAGUCAUAAUGCUGGCAGAGAUAUUACCAUCAAAUAAUACGGUAAUGGAUAUCAAAGGAGCUGGCUUCAUCUGCUGGAUAAAGACAUCGCUGAGUGGGUUAGCAGGAGUAAAUAAACUCUGAUGUGUUUGCUGAUGAGCUGCUUUGUCCUACAGCUCAUCUGCUGGGACUCCAUAGAGGUCAGGACAACAAACACCGAUGGAUAGAAACAGAUCAGUCUCUUUAGAGCUGAUUUUAUUGAUGCUCUGAGCCCUGGACAUGGCUUGCUGUUUUCUGAGCUUUUCAUGCUGGUACAUUUUCAAGAUUUUACAAAAGAAAAAUCUCUUUCUUUCUCUUUUUUCAUUGAUGUGGAUAAAAUUGACUGUGCACCCGACCUCACAUGGAGUUUUUCUUUUCACAUUUUUUUUUUUUUGUUAAACAUUAUUCUUGGGCUUUAGGCCUUAGUUUUGAUGGUACAGCUCGAAAGAGACAGCAAUGACAAACCAGUGCAAUGAGGGCUGCAGCCUCAGUAUAUGGUCACCCAAUCCAACUUUUAGUCCAACAGUCCCUCCAUUCACUUUCCUUAUAAUUAACUAGACAUAUAUUCCUAAUUCCAGAUUUACUUCAAUAGUUGGUAACCUAUAAGAAUGGUUUGUUUGUUGUUGUUUUUAAGAUGGGUUUUACUACUCCCGUAGUCCAGUUGAGAAGGCUAUUUUAAAUUCUGGUGUGAUCUUCAUAAGGAAACUCGGGUCCACUUGAAAACCAGGUUCUUGGUUCACUUGGUGCGCUUGGCUAGAGGAACCAAAUUAUUAACCAAAGACAGAAAGUUGUGUAGAGCCCAGCACAUGGUGAGUCAAUUUCUCAUCACUUGUAAAGAACAAAUGCUAGAAGGCUUGAUGCCUCCCCUGUAGCUCAUACUGGGCGCUUUCAUGUGAAAAAUAUAAAAAAAAACAUGGAAGCAAAAGCAGAAUCCCCCAAAAGCAUAAAUAUGGUGUUGCUCUAAUGUCUAUGUGUCUAAAGUCGAUUGUCUGGGAUGAUAUCAUCAUAGGUGAGCAGUCAUUGUAGGACGUGAUCUUGUCCUUUGCCAAGCAGAGUGGUCCUCUGACAGCCAAGUAAAGCGAUGAAAAUGGUUAACAAAGAUAGACCAAACACAGAUCGUAUUAUGGCGUCAGUGGAGUCAAGCAUGGAGUCAACAGGUUAGAGUUUUUCAGAGCUCAUUAUGGAAGUAGAGCAUCAUAGAUUUUGACAGGAAAUCCUUGGCCUUGUGUCCCUGUCCCUGGUCAAGAAAAAGAAAGUUAGCACUAUUAAAAGGAGUUUAAUCAUUUUCUUUCUUUAUAUUUAGCAGGCCCCUCUGAGACACAAAAACAUCUUAAUCAAUGACUGAAGUUUUAAUUCCAGGGGGGGAGGAGACAAAGAAACAGCUCUCCUGGCAACCACGCUGAUGGAUUCCUCUGCUUAUUACAGCUGGAGUCAUCAGGGCGCUCUUUUUUCAAUCAUAGCCACUUUGAUUCAAAGCCUUGGAAAGCACCGUUGGACUCAUGACAGUAAAGAAUGAACUCAAAUUAUAGUUUUUUUUAAGAAGACUCCAGGAGUCAAGAGUUUGUGUUGACAGAAUAAUAAGACAUGAAGAGGCUUGGACAUUGGAUUUCUUAGGGGAAUGAUUUUUCUUGUUUCAGGAUGGAUUGAUUAUGUUGUGGAAAAUGUUCAUUCAAUCCCCAGCUCUUUAUUGUGUAAAUCAAACUUGGCAAUGACUGUAUUUUCCCUCCCUAAAUGUUGAUUUCCUGUUGGGUAUCAGAUCUUUUUUUGCUCAGGGGGAACAAACAUCAAACAAUAAAUCAGGUAUAGGUCCAUAACUUAAAUCACUUACAGUUGUGUUGAUGAAAGUGUUGCAGUUUCUCAGAGAACUGCUCAGCACUGUGAUAGAUGGAUCCAGUACAACUGCAGAGUAAUUGCAUAUUUUUGGGCCCUCCGAUGAAUAACCAGCACUGAUCCGUCAUUAUAAAAGUAAAACUCAGUCAGUGGUGAGAAAUGUUGCUCAACAGGUAUUUGCACAGCUGCAGGGGGUCAUAAAUAACUGCAGAAGACUUGCACAUUAGUUCACCUUUUUCCUCUCAAGGCCUUAAACGAAGCAGCCUCCAGUGUCCAGACAUGUAAUCAAGGAGGCGCUGUUAGUUCGUCCAAGGCUGCAGCUCUGCUGAUUACUGUAAAGCAAGCAAUCAACACGUACUUCAGGUUACAAAGGCCUAAGUAUCCACAUCUAUACACUGAUUUUAUUUGCACAAAAUACUAUGCAGAUAAUAAGGCUAGCAGUGAUUAAGGUUGGCUUUAGACAGGGGGAGUUUUGGCUUCAUGAGGGCUCCAGGUCGAGCCCACAUGGCACUGACUUGUGCUUCUGUUUGGCCACCUGAGUAGCUGCUGUUGCUACUUAUCUUCAUAACUUUGACCCAGAAUAAAGUUAUUAACUGUUACAAAAUAUCUUGGCUUUACAAAUAUCAUAAGGAACUACUUUUGUCAGGAAAGAAAGACUUGACGUAUGAUAAUAGACUGUUUAUGCUAUGGACAACUUGGAUCCGCCUUCUGUCAGUACACGGAUUUGGUAAUUCCGCGAUUUUUCUCCACUUUCUGAGACCAACAUUGCGCAGUUGCGAUGUAAGCACUCCACCACUUGCGCAGUAACAUUGUACGCAUUUGGCAAGAGGAUGGCGGAGAGUCGCUGUGAUAACGCUCAGCUCAAACAGCUUAUCCUUCGGGUGAGCUACGCUAUCUUCGCACGCCCAUCGGCUGUAUCAAGUGUCAAUCAUAGAAAACAUGAAUCCCCUAAUAACUUUUAAAAAUGGAGCUGUACAAAAAAAAUGUAUAUUCUGUAAAAUAAAUUUCUAAAGUUUGUCUACAGCUCCAUACGGAUGGCUGGAGGAGGCGGGAUUUAUGACCUAUACUGCAGCCCGUCACCAGAGGGUGCUGUUCUCGGGGUGGCUUCACCCAGCGAGGAGGAAGACAGUGCCCAUUCUUUAUACAGUCUAUGUGUAUGAUCCAUUGUAAAUUUAAACUUUAUAAAAAAGAUUUUUGGGGACUUUUUUUUAUUUUUAUUUGAUGGGACAGCUAGGACCAGUGCAAUGUGGACCAAAGCCUUAAAACAUGAAGCACCUGCUCUACCAAGUGAGCUAAACAUUUGCCAAAAUAUGCAUAUUACUUUUGUUUCAUAACUGGGCACUCUGUCUUUUCUUUCAGUGAACUGUGUCAUUCACCUAAACAUAAAAAAUAGCAUGCAAGACUUUCUGUACACCUUCAAUCGCCCUUUGGGAUCACUGUAAUUGAUUGAUAAUUAAUUUGUAUACCAAAUCCAUUCAAUUAAUGAGGACAUAGUCGAAGAGCCUGUUUCUGAGCAACCAGAAC